CUCAUUAAAAAUGCUAAGAUAAAUUUUUUUUUCAUUUUAGAUUCAAUUGGUGCAUUAAUAAGAGAUCAUUUUUGGAUUUUCUAAGUAGUUUUCAUAAAAAUUGGGAAAACCCCGGGAAAGAAAAACAAAGAAAUAAUUUAACCGUUUUAAAAAUAUUCUAACUAUUUUUGAGUUAUUUGUAAGCAUUUGAUAUUUUCAAGUCAUUUUUUUAGUUUUUAUUUGGUAAGUAUUUUAUAAAUUAAAUUGGAGAAAUAUACCUAAGAAUAAAUCAACGGAAAACAGUAUGGAGAACGACCAGAGAAAGAAGGAAAAAUGUAUUGGGCAUAUAACGAGAAACAAUGAACGGAUAACGACAAUAAUAGA
Cinara cedri is the source of this 363-nucleotide non-coding RNA. The record is from the annotation of a GenBank genome assembly. NCBI's taxonomy places the organism in Eukaryota, Metazoa, Arthropoda, Insecta, Hemiptera, Aphididae.